This is a non-coding RNA of Arachis ipaensis, 2847 nucleotides long. Lineage: Eukaryota; Viridiplantae; Streptophyta; Magnoliopsida; Fabales; Fabaceae. The record is from RefSeq and is a predicted model, not a curated record.
AUCUCAUAAUUCAUCACUCAUUCCACUAAUCACACUAGCUUCUUUUUUAAUUUUUCACACUUCUUUUCUCUUUCAUUUUUUUUUUCACUGUCACACACAUUGCAUUUUGCUCCCUUCGAUUACUUCAACCAACAAAAAUACAACAACAGAGACCCAAACAUUCCUUCAGCUUCUUCGAUUUCCAUUUUCAGAUAUUCCCUUUGAUUCGUUCAGAUGAGAGAUCCUAAGAACGAUCCUAAACCUGUGAAACCCGCAGCUCAAUCCUCCCCUCUCAUUCUCGACAUCGAUGACUUCAAGGGUGAUUUUUCGUUCGAUGCGUUGUUUGGGAACCUAGUGAAUGAGCAGCUUCCGGCGUUCAGAUUGGAAGAUUUGGAAGCGGAAGAUUCUCUUCCGAAUGGCCAUGUUACCAACAAGUUUGUUGGUUCUCAGCAAGGGGCUUCCAGCCCUCUGUUUCCUGAGGUUGAGAAGCUCUUGUCGUUGUUCAAAGACUCUUGUAAGGAGCUCGUUGAGCUCCGCAAACAGAUUGAUGGGAGACUUCUCAAUCUUAAGAAAGAUGUUGCAGUUCAGGACAAUAAGCAUCGAAAGACACUUACCGAGCUAGAGAAAGGUGUAGAUGGACUGUUCGAGAGCUUUGCGAGGUUGGAUUCGCGUAUUUCAAGUGUAGGCCAGACAGCUGCGAAGAUUGGAGAUCAUCUCCAGAGUGCGGAUUCUCAGCGUGAAACUGCCAGUCAAACAAUUGAGCUGAUCAAAUACUUGAUGGAGUUCAAUAGCAGCCCAGGUGAUCUGAUGGAGCUUUCACCUUUAUUUUCUGACGACAGUCGUGUUGCUGAGGCUGCUUCAAUUGCCCAGAAAUUACGGACAUUUGCUGAGGAAGAUAUUGGUAGACUUUCAUCAGCUGUUGGAAAUGCAGCUGCUAGCAGAGGAUUAGAAGUUGCAGUUGCUAAUUUGCAGGACUAUUGCAAUGAAUUGGAGAAUAGAUUGAUUUCUCGGUUUGAUUCUGCAUCACAGAAAAGAGAAUUGACUACAAUGGCGGAAUGUGCCAAAAUUUUGUCUCAGUUCAAUAGGGGCACAAGUGCGAUGCAACAUUAUGUGGCAACACGUCCGAUGUUUAUUGAUGUGGAAGUAAUGAAUGCAGACACUAGGCUGGUUCUUGGUGACCAGGCUGUACAGGCUAGUCCUAGUGAUGUUGCUUCUGGGCUUUCGUCUUUGUAUAAAGAAAUCACAGAUACCGUUAGAAAAGAGGCAGCAACAAUAACUGCUGUAUUCCCUUCUCCAAGUGAAGUUAUGUCGAUUUUAGUUCAGCGAGUUUUAGAGCAGCGAAUCACAGCUCUUCUGGACAAACUCUUAAUGAAACCGUCUCUUGUGAAUUUACCUUCCAUGGGGGAAGGUGGGCUGCUACUAUAUCUUAGAAUGCUGGCAGUGGCAUAUGAAAAGACUCGAGAACUUGCUACAGAUCUACGGACUGUGGGAUGUGGUGACUUGGAUGUCGAGGGUCUGACAGAGUCCCUGUUUUCUAGUCACAAAGAUGAAUAUCUUGAAUAUGAGCAGGCAGCUCUUAGACAAUUAUAUAAAGUGAAGAUGGAGGAAUUGCGAGCGGAAGGCCAGAUUUCUGAUUCAUCUGGGUCACUUGGACGCUCAAAAGGAGCAUCAGUGGCUGCUGCUUCAUCUCAGCAACAAAUAUCUGUCACUGUGGUGACAGAGUUUGUCCGUUGGAAUGAAGAAGCCAUAUCAAGAUGCAAUCUCUUCUGUUCCCAGCCUGCCACACUUGCAACCCAUGUUAAAGCCGUGUUUACAUGUUUACUAGAUCAAGUCAGUCAAUAUAUUGCGGAUGGGCUUGAACGAGCUAGAGACAGCCUGACUGAGGCAGCUAAUUUAAGGGAAAGAUUUGUGCUGGGUACAAGUGUGAGCCGUAGAGUGGCUGCUGCAGCUGCAUCUGCUGCUGAGGCUGCCGCUGCAGCUGGAGAAAGCAGUUUCAGAUCAUUCAUGGUUGCUGUACAACGUUCUGGAAGCAGUGUAGCUAUUAUUCAACAAUAUUUUGCAAAUUCUAUAUCCCGGCUUCUGCUUCCCGUGGAUGGUGCACAUGCUGCUUCUUGUGAAGAAAUGGCAACAGCAAUGUCCAGUGCAGAGGCUGCUGCUUACAAAGGACUACAACAGUGCAUUGAAACUGUCAUGGCUGAGGUGGAGCGAUUACUCUCAGCUGAGCAAAAGGCAACAGACUAUCGAACAUCUGAUGAUAAUCUGGUUCCUGAUCACCGGGCAACCAAUGCCUGCACAAGGUGGAUAUAACUUGAAGACCCAAGGUUGUGGCUUAUCUUUCUCGUGUGCUGGAGUCCGCAUUCACAGCUCUAGAAGGUCUUAACAAGCAAGCAUUCCUGACCGAGUUGGUAUGUGUUGCUAAACCAUUGGCAAAAGUUUACGUUUAAUCCAAGUGGGGGAUUGCGACUGAAGCGUGACAUCACUGAUUAUGGAGAUUUUGUGCGUAGUUUCAAUGCUCCUUCUGUUGAUGAGAAAUUUGAGUUGUUGGGCAUCAUGGCCAAUGUCUUUAUUGUUGCUCCGGAGAGCCUUGCAAGUUUGUUUGAAGGUACACCUAGCAUUCGCAAGGAUGCACAAAGAUUUGUUCAGCUUAGGGACGAUUACAAGAGUGCUAAACUUGCAUCCAAACUCAGUUCCUUGUGGAAUUAAUGAACAUGGUCUUGUGAUCUUUAAACCCCUCUCGAACAUGGUGGAGUUGAUAUGCCGUGGUUUCAAUCCCAUUUUAAAAUUAAUUUUUUUGUAAAACUUUAAUAAUAAUAAUUUUAUUUAUGCUUUUUUUAGUUAAUAUCAAAAUAGCAAUACUUGUUUCAAGUA